UUGCUCUUCAACGAGGAAUACCUAGUAAGCGUGAGUCAUCAGCUCGCGUUGAUUACGUCCCUGCCCUUUGUACACACCGCCCGUCGCUACUACCGAUUGAAUGGCUUAGUGAGAUCUCCGGAUUGGCGUUAGGGAGCCGGCAACGGCACCCUUUGGCCGAGAAGUUGAUCAAACUUGGUCAUUUAGAGGAAGUAAAAGUCGUAACAAGGUUUCCGUAGGUGAACCUGCGGAAGGAUCAUUAUUAAAUAGUUACUUCGGUAACUUUAAUAUCCCUAACACCUGUGCAUUUUGUCGCUCCGGCGAUAUCAUACAAACAUCAGUGUAAUGAAUGUAAAUUAUUAUAACAAAUACAACUUUCAACAACGGAUCUCUUGGCUCUCGCAUCGAUGAAGAACGCAGCGAAAUGCGAUAAGUAAUGUGAAUUGCAGAAUUCAGUGAAUCAUCGAAUCUUUGAACGCACACUGCGCCUUUUGGUAUUCCGAAAGGCAUGCCUGUUUGAGUGUCAUAAGGCCUCUCAUACCUAGUUUUCUAUGUAUGAGCUUUGGAUGUUGCCAUUAGUGGCUCAUCUUAAAUGUCUAGUGGAAUGCGUAAUAAGUUUUCGCUCCCUCCACUCUAAUAACUUUUAUGUUAGACCUCAAAUCAGGUAGGACUACCCGCUGAACUUAAGCAUAUCAAUAAGCGGAGGA
RNAcentral lists this ribosomal RNA (686 nucleotides) under uncultured fungus. RNAcentral's name for it is "eukaryotic LSU rRNA". The stretch from base 1 to 241 matches the Rfam family "Eukaryotic small subunit ribosomal RNA", at positions 1593 to 1831 of the family's 1831-position model. Lineage: Eukaryota; Fungi. The record is from RNAcentral.